AGCCGCCGCGGUAACACCAGCGCCGCAAGUGGGAGCCGCGUUUAUUGGGCCUAAAGCGUUCGUAGCAGGUCUUGUAAAUUCUUUGUGAAAUCGUCAAGCUCAACUUGACGGCGCGCAGGGAACACUGCAAGACUUGGGACCGGGAGGAGUCAGAGGUAUUUUUAGGGGAACGGUAAAAUGUGAUAAUCCUAAGAGGACCACCUGUGGCGAAGGCGUCUGACCAGAACGGAUCCGACUGUGAGGAACGAAAGCUAGGGGAGCAAAUCGGAUUAGAUACCCGCGUAGUCCUAGCCGUAAACGCUGCGAGCAAGAUGUUGGGCAUCCUUCGAGGUUGCCCAGUGUCGAAACGAAGGUGUUAAGCUCGCCGCCUGGGAAGUAUAGUCGCAAGGCCGAAACUUAAAGGAAUUGGCGGGGGAGCACUACAAGGGGUGAAAUGUGCGGUUUAAUCUAACUCAACUCAGAGAAUCUCACCAGAGGCGACGGCAGUAUGAUGGUCAGUCUAAAGGGCUUACCGGACGAGCCGAGAGGUGGUGCAUGGCCGCCGUCAGCUCGUGCCGUAAGGUGUCCAGUUAAGUCUGGUAACGAGCGAGACCUGUGUUUACAGUUGCUAACAGCCACUUUAGUGGGACUGCGCACACUGUAGAGACUGCUGUGGAAACGCAGAGGAAGGUGCAGGCAACGGUAGGUCUGUAUGCCCCGAAUCUUCUGGGCUACACGCGCAUUGCAAUGGUAGGGACAAUGGGAUGCAACCCUGAGAAGGGAAGCUAAACCUCUAAACCCUAUCCAAGUCCGGAUCGAGGCUUGUAACCCAGCCUCGUGAAGCUGGAAUCCCUAGUAAUUGGGUGUCAUCAACGCCCAGUGAAUAUGUCCCUGCUCCU
This 878-nucleotide ribosomal RNA is filed under the name uncultured euryarchaeote. RNAcentral describes it as "bacterial SSU rRNA". It matches the Rfam family "Archaeal small subunit ribosomal RNA", at positions 460 to 1337 of the family's 1478-position model. The record is from RNAcentral. Lineage: Archaea; Methanobacteriati; Methanobacteriota.